AGUACUCGAGUGGCGAACGGGUGAGUAACACGUGGGUAAUCUGCCCUGCACUCUGGGAUAAGCCUGGGAAACUGGGUCUAAUACUGGAUAUGACCUUUCUCCUUAUGGGGUUUGGUGGAAAGUUUUUCGGUGUAGGAUGAGCCCGCGGCCUAUCAGCUUGUUGGUGGGGUGAUGGCCUACCAAGGCGACGACGGGUAGCCGGCCUGAGAGGGUGACCGGCCACAUUGGGACUGAGAUACGGCCCAG
RNAcentral lists this ribosomal RNA (246 nucleotides) under uncultured Actinomycetales bacterium. RNAcentral describes it as "partial 16S ribosomal RNA". It matches the Rfam family "Bacterial small subunit ribosomal RNA", at positions 86 to 334 of the family's 1533-position model. Lineage: Bacteria; Bacillati; Actinomycetota; Actinomycetes; Actinomycetales. The record is from RNAcentral.